This 1245-nucleotide long non-coding RNA is filed under the name Citrus x clementina. Its description in RNAcentral is "Citrus clementina (C. clementina) long non-coding RNA (CCLE_LNC003884)". The record is from RNAcentral. Lineage: Eukaryota; Viridiplantae; Streptophyta; Magnoliopsida; Sapindales; Rutaceae.
UUUUAUUUUUUAAUUGAAUAAGAAUAAGUUUGAAUUUUUAUAAUAUACAUGAGGAAAUAAAUGGAACUGUAUUAAUUACAAAACUAAUUUUGAAAAUUAGAUGUUAAAAAGCUACUUCUCCUUUCUUUUCGCUUCAGGAUGGGGUCAUUUCAUCAAAAGUAAUUUUUAAAAAAAUUUACAAAACACUAAAAUUAGUUUUUAAUUUUUAAAAAUUACUUUUAAGUCUCUCAAAAAUAAUUUCAAACAAAUCCUAAAUUUGAAAUUAACUUAUUUUCGGACAUUUUCAUUUUCAAUUAGAUUAACAAUAUUAAUGAAAGAGAAAGAGUAUUAUAUAAAUUGGUUAUUGUUGUGGCUUAUUAUAUCAUUGUCAGGCAUUCUAUAUUAUUUAAAAAAAAAACAAUUAUAUAAUACACAUUUGUUUGUCCAAGUAGAAUUUGUAUUUGUAAUUGCAGCAAUUACUCGAAUAAAAAUAGUUCAGACUUUAGGUGAAUGAUUAAAAAACACAAAAGUAUGGGGCCGCCUUGAUAAUGUUGGACUUAUAAGAAGAAUAACUUAUGAUGUCGCUAGUUCUGAGCCGUUAGAUCUUCGCCUGAGAGUUGCGCGUCCUCGUAAGCCAGUGAGUCCGUACGAAAGCCAGCAAAAUUGGGUGAGUGAGAUUCCUGUGGGCCCAGGUGAGUUAAUACGGCACGUGGCAUAUAGAGAUAGGAAAAGGGCGGUACCGGUGGAUCGGGUUCGGGUGUGGGAAAGGAUGACCAUACAAGCUGGAUAGUGUGGAAUAAAUCACAUUUCAAAGAAGAUAAAAUAUUUUUAAUGCCACGAGUUUUGAAUAUGGUCGAAUACAAAUUAUUAAAUAAAAAAUAAAAAAAUCCUGCUAAAACGUGGCGGAUACUUUCCGUGGACGAAAAUUAUUCAAUAAUGCAGCACGGAAAUCAUGUGCACUGCUCACAAUCACAAAUAAUAGUGGUCUCCGUUCACUCUAAUUAUGAAAAAAACAGAAAUUAAAACACAGUAAAUUAAUUGUACAUUACAACUUGCAAGUUGCAACUGUUGUAGACUUUUCAUUAAUAAUUGCAAAGUUUCGUUAUUUUAUGAAUUUAUACUUCAACUUGUGAUUUGCGAGGAAAGAAUCGAUUAAAGAAGCAGGGCAAAGGGCCCCGUUAAAUCAAGUAACAAUCUCGAUUUAUGUGGAUCUAAUCAAGUCCUUGCUCCCAUGAUUCGUAGUCACAACUUACAAACUUGACUUUU